Long non-coding RNA from Musa acuminata subsp. malaccensis (wild Malaysian banana), 854 nucleotides. RefSeq lists it as uncharacterized. NCBI's taxonomy places the organism in Eukaryota, Viridiplantae, Streptophyta, Magnoliopsida, Zingiberales, Musaceae. The record is from RefSeq and is a predicted model, not a curated record.
CUCGUGUUUAUUUGGCGCGUCACGACAAAAACCCUACAUGAAAUCGCACGCCGUCCGCCUCUCUUCGCGAGAUCGGGAGAGGCGAUGGGAUCCGGCGAAAAGGAAGCGAGCGACCUCUCUGAUUCUUCCGUUCCAUUUGAUUUCUUUGCCAAACAGAACGCCUCCAAUUCCCUCCCGUUUCCGAUGCCCGAGCUGCUCCCUCGACUUCUUCCAGUUGCAGAUGAUUCUUUCUCUUCGCCUUCUCGUAUCGUUAGGAAACAAUUACUGAACUGGGAGAUUGAAAAGAAGCCAUAUAUGAAGCAGUUGCAUGGUUAAUCAUUAACUUGCUUAUUGUGGGAAGCCAUUGGUAAAGGAGCCAUACAGAGGUGCCUCUCUAGACAAUUUUGAUAUGGAAUAGAAAGUCCAUGUUUCACGUUUGGAUGAUCUGAACUCCAUUGCUGAGCGGUGUAGCUAGGCAAUGUUCUCCAGCUGACAAAAGUCAAUAGUGUUUCACAGUGGUCAGAUCGACUGCAUUAUCAAGGUGUGAUUGAUAUAGGAAGAGAAAGGAGAAAAGAAGAAUUAGAAAGAAAGAAGAAACUCUCCGGUUAUUCUAUCAAUCCACAGGUACAUCGUUCUCAUGUUGUUUUCAUUGUUUCUUAUAGCUACUGUUCUUUCAUGUCAGUAUGUUCUUUCAUCUUAGUACCCAGUUGCGGAUGGGUCUCUUGAAUGAUGUGGAAGUUCAUAUUAGUCUUUAAAUGCGAUUCUUAUUUUCUUUCUUUGCCAUAAGAUGAUAUUGCUCUGUUAUUAUGUCAUUAAACAGUGGAUGUUAGGUUUUUGUUUCUUUCAGCAACACCAUAAUUAGCCGCAGGGGUGUG